UCAAUUGUAUGUCAUCUUAAU
Molecule: non-coding RNA, 21 nt
Filed under: Caenorhabditis elegans
Lineage: Eukaryota; Metazoa; Nematoda; Chromadorea; Rhabditida; Rhabditidae
Source: RNAcentral